This 407-nucleotide ribosomal RNA is filed under the name uncultured Gammaproteobacteria bacterium. RNAcentral's name for it is "bacterial SSU rRNA". It matches the Rfam family "Bacterial small subunit ribosomal RNA", at positions 9 to 412 of the family's 1533-position model. Lineage: Bacteria; Pseudomonadati; Pseudomonadota; Gammaproteobacteria. The record is from RNAcentral.
GAGUUUGAUCCUGGCUCAGAGUGAACGCUGGCGGCAGGCCUAACACAUGCAAGUCGAACGGCAGCGCAGCAGUAGCAAUACUGUGGGCGGCGAGUGGCGGACGGGUGAGGAAUACAUCGGAAUCUACCUUGUCGUGGGGGAUAACGUAGGGAAACUUACGCUAAUACCGCAUACGACCUACGGGUGAAAGCGGCGGACCGCAAGGCGUCGCGCGAUUGGAUGAGCCGAUGUCCGAUUAGCUGGUUGGCGGGGUAAAGGCCCACCAAGGCGACGAUCGGUAGCUGGUCUGAGAGGAUGAUCAGCCACACUGGAACUGAGACACGGUCCAGACUCCUACGGGAGGCAGCAGUGGGGAAUAUUGGACAAUGGGCGCAAGCCUGAUCCAGCCAUGCCGCGUGUGUGAAGAA